GUGGGGAAUCUUCCGCAAUGGACGAAAGUCUGACGGAGCAACGCCGCGUGAGUGAUGAAGGUCUUCGGAUUGUAAAGCUCUGUUAAUCGGGACGAAAGAGCCUAGUGUGAAUAAUGCUAGGAAGUGACGGUACCGGAAUAGAAAGCCACGGCUAACUACGUGCCAGCAGCCGCGGUAAUACGUAGGUGGCAAGCGUUGGCCGGAAUUAUUGGGCGUAAAGCGCGCGCAGGCGGAUCUGCCAGUCUGUCUUAAAAGUUCGGGGCUUAACCCCGUGAUGGGAUGGAAACUACAGAUCUAGAGUAUCGGAGAGGAAAGUGGAAUUCCUAGUGUAGCGGUGAAAUGCGUAGAUAUUAGGAAGAACACCAGUGGCGAAGGCGACUUUCUGGACGAAAACUGACGCUGAGGCGCGAAAGCCAGGGGAGCGAACGGGAUUAGAUACCCCAGUAGUCC
This 450-nucleotide ribosomal RNA is filed under the name uncultured bacterium. RNAcentral describes it as "partial 16S ribosomal RNA". It matches the Rfam family "Bacterial small subunit ribosomal RNA", at positions 354 to 796 of the family's 1533-position model. The record is from RNAcentral.